This 1633-nucleotide unclassified non-coding RNA is filed under the name Leishmania donovani. RNAcentral describes it as "gene:LdHU3.18.1980(CDS-product:Zinc_finger_C3HC4_ type_(RING_finger)_containing_protein_putative)". Lineage: Eukaryota; Euglenozoa; Kinetoplastea; Trypanosomatida; Trypanosomatidae. The record is from RNAcentral.
AAUUUUCACUCGCUUCUACGUGAGCGGCGUCCUGCCGCGUUGUUUUGCCUCAUCUCUGGGCCCCUCCCGUAUAGCCGUCCGCCGACUUUCGUCUGUGCUUUCUUUGCUGCGGUGUCUUGCGUCGAGCGGCUCGCUGCACGUCUCUUCGUCAACGUGCAGGCACACAAGCACUCUGUGGCUUAUCAGCCCCAUAGCGGCGCCCCAGGCAGGGUGUGCAAGUGGACUUGAGUAGGAGGGUACAGUCGUUGCUAUAAUCUGUGCUUCAUUGGUUCUUCUGGUGACGUGGUGUGACAUAGGUCUGCUCACGUGUCAGACACACCACUUAUUCCCUCGACCUUAGCACGUCGUUGCCAUUUGGUGCCGCCAUCCUUCUCGAUCACUACCGCCGUUAUCGCUGCUUACCGUCGUCAUCAUGAGCGGGCUGGAGCUUAUCGCACUUGUGCCGAUUGGCAUUGCCGGGUGGAAGCUUUUCCAGAAGCUGGGAGACCAGCAGAGCCUCAUAGCGCAGCACGAGCUGACCAUCAAUAGCCAGAAGGAAAUGCUGGAGUCCAUCGUGAACGCCGAUAGAGCUGGCCCGUUGAGUCGACUCAACCUCGCGGUGGUUGCCGGCACGCUGGUCUUGGCUGGGACGGUGACCUACAAAAGCUGGACACUUACAAAGUCAUUCACGGUUCGGCCACCGCCCAACUACGAGCCUACGCCAGCCACGUUCGACGCGGAGCAGUGCGUUAUUUGCUUAGAAAACUGCAAAGACACCGUCUUUCUGCCAUGCCGACACCUGUGCACGUGCUGGAGCUGCGCGAGUCGCAUCGGGAACAGUGCCUGUCCGACCUGCCGAGCACCGAUUCAGGCUAUGCAGUUUGUCUACCAGCAAUGAGAGAAAAUGGGGGUGGUGUAGCCAUCUCUCGGCUGAUCAUCUCAUUCCCGCCAGCACGCGUGACAGAGGCAGCUGCCCACCCACCCCUCCCUAGCUCUCUCAGUCACUUUCGACCCUUUUCAUUUUGUUUGCUUCAGCGUGUCAUGCUUUACCCAGCUUUUCGAUGGUUCACUCCGCGGUGCUCGAUUUAUGUUGCCCCGCAUGCAUGUGCGCACGUGGGUCCGCCUGUACAGUCUUGCGCAUCGAGGGGAGUACGGCGGCUGCUACGAAUGCUGCUUUGGGUAGUCAUGGCAGUGCGACGCCCUAGCGAAUCCAGUCGGUAUGUGCAUGUUUCCUAUGUUCCCUCAGUGGCUGAGCCCUGCUGUUGAUGACGCAAGGGCUUGCCCUUCUCCUUAUUGCUGUUUCUCUCCUGCCUCCUCUCGCGCUUCAACCACGUUGUUGCUCAACGCCUUGCGCAGGAAAAGCGGGGAGGAACAGGGGGGAGGUGUAGCCACACCACAUACCCCACCCCAGCUCUUUUUUUCUGAUAUACAAGAAAGAGGGAGGCGAGAGAUACGUCUUCUUCGUGUCUCGGGCUGCGUGCCCUGCGUGAAUCGUUGUUCCGCCUCUCACACUCUGUCUUGCAUCGGUCUCUCUCCGUCCUUCCCUUUCCUCUUCCUGCUACCACCGUUAUGGUGGAUGUCUUUUGCUUUCUUGGCUGGUGUGACUCCUACGCGCUUUUCAUUGCACUCUUCUUUUUUGCACCUCCCCUUCCAG